This 475-nucleotide ribosomal RNA is filed under the name uncultured bacterium. RNAcentral describes it as "bacterial SSU rRNA". It matches the Rfam family "Bacterial small subunit ribosomal RNA", at positions 37 to 507 of the family's 1533-position model. The record is from RNAcentral.
UGGCGGCAGGCUUAACACAUGCAAGUCGAGCGGUAGCAGAUCUAGCUUGCUAGAUGCUGACGAGCGGCGGACGGGUGAGUAACGCGUAGGAACCUGCCCAGUAGUGGGGGAUAGCCCGGGGAAACUCGGAUUAAUACCGCAUACGCUCUACGGAGGAAAGAGGGGGCUUCGGCUCUCGCUAUUGGAUGGGCCUGCGUGAGAUUAGCUAGUUGGUGAGGUAAUGGCUCACCAAGGCGACGAUCUCUAGCUGGUCUGAGAGGAUGAUCAGCCACACUGGGACUGAGACACGACCCAGACUCCUACGGGAGGCAGCAGUGGGGAAUAUUGCACAAUGGGCGCAAGCCUGAUGCAGCCAUGCCGCGUGUGUGAAGAAGGCUUUCGGGUUGUAAAGCACUUUCAGUGGGGAGGAAGGCCUCGUAGUUAAUAGCUGCGAGGAUUGACGUUACCCACAGAAGAAGCACCGGCUAACUCCGUG